Xenia sp. Carnegie-2017 is the source of this 98-nucleotide long non-coding RNA. RefSeq lists it as uncharacterized. NCBI's taxonomy places the organism in Eukaryota, Metazoa, Cnidaria, Anthozoa, Malacalcyonacea, Xeniidae. The record is from RefSeq and is a predicted model, not a curated record. The transcript is spliced from 2 exons.
GGGAUGGCCUCGCCAUAAGCGUCGUUUUAUACCUUCAAAAAAUGUGAUCACUGUGAUGAUUAUCUUGUAAAACCCUCGUGUGGGCAUGUAUCGUCUCA